RNAcentral lists this ribosomal RNA (253 nucleotides) under uncultured bacterium. RNAcentral's name for it is "partial 16S ribosomal RNA". It matches the Rfam family "Bacterial small subunit ribosomal RNA", at positions 524 to 776 of the family's 1533-position model. The record is from RNAcentral.
GACGUAGGGCGCGAGCGUUGUCCGGAUUUAUUGGGCGUAAAGAGCUCGUAGGCGGUUUGUCGCGUCGAAUGUGAAAACCCGGGGCUCAACCCUGGGCCUGCAUUCGAUACGGGCAGACUAGAGUUCGGUAGGGGAGACUGGAAUUCCUGGUGUAGCGAUGAAAUGCGCAGAUAUCAGGAGGAACACCGGUGGCGAAGGCGGGUCUCUGGGCCGAAACUGACGCUGAGGAGCGAAAGCGUGGGGAGCAAACAGG